GAUGAACGCUGACAGAAUGCUUAACACAUGCAAGUCAACUUGAACUUCGGUUUGGGUGGCGGACGGGUGAGUAACGCGUAAAGAACUUGCCUCACAGCUAGGGACAACAUUUGGAAACGAAUGCUAAUACCUGAUAUUAUGAUUAUAUGGCAUCGUAUAAUUAUGAAAGCUAUAUGCGCUGUGAGAGAGCUUUGCGUCCCAUUAGCUAGUUGGAGAGGCAACAGCUCACCAAGGCGAUGAUGGGUAGCCGGCCUGAGAGGGUGAUCGGCCACAAGGGGACUGAGACACGGCCCUGACUCCUACUGGAGGCAGCAGGGGGGAAUAUUGGACAAUGGACCGAGAGUCUGAUCCAGCAAUUCUGUGUGCACGAUGAAGUUUUUCGGAAUGUAAAGUGCUUUCAGUUGGGAAGAAAAAAUGACGGUACCAACAGAAGAAGUGACGGCUAAAUACGUG
Molecule: ribosomal RNA, 453 nt
Filed under: uncultured bacterium
Lineage: Bacteria
Description: partial 16S ribosomal RNA
Rfam family: Bacterial small subunit ribosomal RNA
Source: RNAcentral